Molecule: ribosomal RNA, 507 nt
Filed under: uncultured bacterium
Lineage: Bacteria
Description: partial 16S ribosomal RNA
Rfam family: Bacterial small subunit ribosomal RNA
Source: RNAcentral
GACGAACGCUGGCGGCGUGCCUAAUACAUGCAAGUCGAACGCAUUUUCUUUCACCGUAGCUUGCUACACCGAAAGAAAAUGAGUGGCGAACGGGUGAGUAACACGUUGGUAACCUGCCCAUCAGCGGGGGAUAACACUUGGAAACAGGUGCUAAUACCGCAUAAUUCCAUUUACCGCAUGGUAAAUGGAUGAAAGGCGCUUUUGCGUCACUGAUGGAUGGACCCGCGGUGCAUUAGCUAGUUGGUGGGGUAACGGCCUACCAAGGCUGCGAUGCAUAGCCGACCUGAGAGGGUGAUCGGCCACACUGGGACUGAGACACGGCCCAGACUCCUACGGGAGGCAGCAGUAGGGAAUCUUCGGCAAUGGACGCAAGUCUGACCGAGCAACGCCGCGUGAUUGAAGAAGGUUUUCGGAUCGUAAAACUCUGUUGUUAGAGAAGAACAAGGAUGAGAGUGGAAAGUUCAUCCCUUGACGGUAUCUAACCAGAAAGCCACGGCUAACUACGUG